GUCCACGCCCUAAACGAUGUCAACUGGUUGUUGGGAAGGUUCCUUCUCAGUAACGUAGCUAACGCGUGAAGUUGACCGCCUGGGGAGUACGGCCGCAAGGUUGAAACUCAAAGGAAUUGACGGGGACCCACACAAGCGGUGGAUGAUGUGGUUUAAUUCGAUGCAACGCGAAAAACCUUACCUACCCUUGACAUGCCCGGAAUCCUGCAGAGAUGUGGGAGUGCCCGAAAGGGAGCCGGGACACAGGUGCUGCAUGGCCGUCGU
Molecule: ribosomal RNA, 264 nt
Filed under: uncultured bacterium
Lineage: Bacteria
Description: partial 16S ribosomal RNA
Rfam family: Bacterial small subunit ribosomal RNA
Source: RNAcentral